This 220-nucleotide ribosomal RNA is filed under the name uncultured bacterium. RNAcentral's name for it is "partial 16S ribosomal RNA". It matches the Rfam family "Bacterial small subunit ribosomal RNA", at positions 57 to 305 of the family's 1533-position model. The record is from RNAcentral.
GCAAGUCGAGCGCACCCUUCGGGGCGAGCGGCGGACGGGUUAGUAACGCGUGGGAACGUACCCUUGUCUACGGAAUAGCCAUUGGAAACGAUGAGUAAUACCGUAUACGCCCUUUGGGGGAAAGAUUUAUCGCCGAGGGAUCGGCCCGCGUUAGAUUAGAUAGUUGGUGGGGUAAUGGCCUACCAAGUCUACGAUCUAUAGCUGGUUUUAGAGGAUGAUC